GCACAAAACAUUGUCAGAUACAGAAUAUCAAGCAUAUAAUAACAUUUCCAACAUGUCAUAAGGUAGUAAUCUGACAUAUGAGCUGAUGGUUUUUAUGGGUUUAAAUAACUGUAAGAAUCUUGCAUGGGUGGUCCAGCGUGUGUAUGGUCUGUGACCUGGGUGUUCCUCAUUUGCAGGGCAGAUGUCCCUGUUAAUAGGAUUAAGAAUAUAACGUGUGACACUAAAAAUUUAAAACAAUAGGUACGAUCAUCAAGUGAAAAUGUAGUGCGCUAUAGGCUAAAAGUUGAGACAAGGUGUUAAUGCUAUAGCUUGUGCUCGGUUAUCAGUAGCCAUGCGGGUUCAUAAGGUAGCAGGCGCCUAGCCUUAGGGUCAAUGUACGCCUCUGUUCGGAACAGCCAUGUCUGCGGACUAUCUCUGUUUAGCAUUAUCGUUUAACGAGAAACAAUACAUCAUAACUUUGCAUGUUCAUAAGAAUAAUGGGAAACAAACAGAAAAACCAAAAAAACAACAACAACCAAAUAACCAGAAAAAUAGGGUGCCGAGCACCAUUAAGCUAGCGUCUGAUUAGAAGGCUAAUCUGGUGGAGGAUAACGUUCUGGUAUCCAGGGAGCGUGCCCUGUGCCUCAGGUAGGGACUAAUGCCGGGGCAUUUGAGUGUGCCCUUGAUGGUUUAGACGGUGCAGCCUGUGUCAGGUCUCGCAGGUGCUGCGCUAUAGAAAUCCCUCUCGUUGCGGACAAUGAUAAAGAGUCCCUUGGAAGGCCCAGGGUGUCCAGUAUGUCAGCCGCUUGUUGCAGGGUUUGUGCCGAGUAGGUCGCAUCUCCUCGCAGUAUUUGUAGUAUCCGCGGUGACCGCCACCGAUAUCGGAUGUUGUGGACUCUGAGCUGGCUUGUGAAAGGCUAUAGAGAUUUUCUCCAGUGCAUGGUGUCUCCUGGGAGAUCUGCAUAAAAUGAGUCUCAUGUUUUCAAAAACGUGGGGCGAGUCCCCCUCCAGUGCGGUUUGCACCAACAUUUUGUCCUUGAGAGUGUGGAAACGUACAACUACGUCCCUAGAGGCUUGUUCUGGGGCUCCUCCCGGCUUCGGAAUCCGAAACAUGCCUUUGAAGGCAAUACCUUUUGCCUGUUUGGGCUGCAGGAGGGACCCCACCAGCCUUCUCAUGAGGUGCGGGAGCUCCGCAUUUGGUAUCUCCUCUGAUGUGAACCCUUUGGAAUGAUAUGGAUUUCUGCACAAAUUGCUCAUAAAAUGUGAUCUGAUCAUCAUAUAAGUCACAACAAUAGACAAUCACAGUCUGC
Pelobates cultripes (western spadefoot toad) is the source of this 1289-nucleotide non-coding RNA. The record is from the annotation of a GenBank genome assembly. NCBI's taxonomy places the organism in Eukaryota, Metazoa, Chordata, Amphibia, Anura, Pelobatidae.